UACGUAGGUGGCAAGCGUUGUCCGGAAUUAUUGGGCGUAAAGCGCGCGCAGGCGGUCCUUUAAGUCUGAUGUGAAAGCCCACGGCUCAACCGUGGAGGGUCAUUGGAAACUGGGGGACUUGAGUACAGAAGAGGAAAGCGGAAUUCCACGUGUAGCGGUGAAAUGCGUAGAGAUGUGGAGGAGCACCAGUGGCGAAGGCGGCUUUCUGGUCUGUAACUGACGCUGAGGCGCGAAAGCGUGGGGAGCAAACAGG
This 253-nucleotide ribosomal RNA is filed under the name uncultured bacterium. RNAcentral describes it as "partial 16S ribosomal RNA". It matches the Rfam family "Bacterial small subunit ribosomal RNA", at positions 524 to 776 of the family's 1533-position model. The record is from RNAcentral.